CACGGGGGGAGCAAGCGUUGUUCGGAAUCACUGGGCGUAAAGGGCGUGUAGGCGGUCAGGUAAGUGAGACGUGAAAUGCCCCGGCUUACCCGGGGACCUGCGUCUCAUACUGCUUGGCUAGAGUACGGGAGAGGGUGUGGGAAUUCCUGGUGUAGCGGUGAAAUGCGUAGAUAUCAGGAGGAACACCGGUGGCGAAGGCGCACACCUGGCCCGAUACUGACGCUGAGGCGCGAAAGCUAGGGGAGCAAACGGG
This 253-nucleotide ribosomal RNA is filed under the name uncultured bacterium. RNAcentral describes it as "partial 16S ribosomal RNA". It matches the Rfam family "Bacterial small subunit ribosomal RNA", at positions 524 to 776 of the family's 1533-position model. The record is from RNAcentral.